AGGGGCGUAGUUCCAACUGGCAGAACAGCGGUCUCCAAAACCGACGGUUGGGGGUUCGAAUCCCUCCGCCCCUGCCA
Molecule: transfer RNA, 77 nt
Filed under: Idiomarina zobellii
Lineage: Bacteria; Pseudomonadati; Pseudomonadota; Gammaproteobacteria; Alteromonadales; Idiomarinaceae
Also listed under: 8 other names
Description: tRNA_Trp_CCA
Rfam family: tRNA
About the family: Transfer RNA (tRNA) molecules are approximately 80 nucleotides in length. Their secondary structure includes four short double-helical elements and three loops (D, anti-codon, and T loops).
Source: RNAcentral